UGGGGAAUAUUGGACAAUGGAGGCAACUCUGAUCCAGCAAUUCUGUGUGUGUGAAGAAGGUUUUAGGACUGUAAAACACUUUUAGUAGGGAAGAAAGAAAUGACGGUACCUACAGAAGAAGCGACGGCUAAAUACGUGCCAGCAGCCGCGGUAAUACGUAGGGGGCAAGCGUUAUCCGGAUUCAUUGGGCGUAAAGCGCGCGUAGGCGGUUUGUUAGGUCAGGAGUUAAAUCUGGGGGCUCAACCCCUAUCCGCUCCUGAUACCGGCAGGCUUGAGUCUGGUAGGGGAAGGCGGAAUUCCAAGUGUAGCGGUGAAAUGCGCAGCUAUUUGGAAGAACACCGGUGGCGAAGGCGGCCUUCUGGGCCACGACUGACGCUGAGGCGCGAAAGCUAGGGGAGCGAACAGG
Molecule: ribosomal RNA, 406 nt
Filed under: Verrucomicrobiota bacterium
Lineage: Bacteria; Pseudomonadati; Verrucomicrobiota
Description: Verrucomicrobia bacterium partial 16S ribosomal RNA
Rfam family: Bacterial small subunit ribosomal RNA
Source: RNAcentral